GCGUCGAUGGUUAAGGGGCAUAAUUAACGCCUCCCAAAUCGCUCCCGAAAUGGCGAUCGCGUUAGUCCCGGGUUCGAGUCCCGGUCGACGCA
Hyaloraphidium curvatum is the source of this 92-nucleotide non-coding RNA. The record is from the annotation of a GenBank genome assembly. Lineage: Eukaryota; Fungi; Monoblepharomycota; Hyaloraphidiomycetes; Hyaloraphidiales; Hyaloraphidiaceae.